RNAcentral lists this ribosomal RNA (433 nucleotides) under uncultured Oscillospiraceae bacterium. RNAcentral describes it as "bacterial SSU rRNA". It matches the Rfam family "Bacterial small subunit ribosomal RNA", at positions 341 to 792 of the family's 1533-position model. The record is from RNAcentral. RNAcentral also lists the same sequence under 1 other name. Lineage: Bacteria; Bacillati; Bacillota; Clostridia; Eubacteriales; Oscillospiraceae.
ACGGGAGGCAGCAGUGGGGGAUAUUGGUCAAUGGGGGAAACCCUGAACCAGCGACGCCGCGUGAGGGAAGAAGGUCUUCGGAUUGUAAACCUCUGUCUUCGGUGACGAUAAUGACGGUAGCCGAGGAGGAAGCCACGGCUAACUACGUGCCAGCAGCCGCGGUAAUACGUAGGUGGCAAGCGUUGUCCGGAAUUACUGGGUGUAAAGGGAGCGUAGGCGGGGACGCAAGUUGAAUGUUAAAUUUAUCGGCUCAACCGGUAACUGCGUUCAAAACUGUGUCUCUUGAGUGGAGUAGAGGCAGGCGGAAUUCCCAGUGUAGCGGUGAAAUGCGUAGAUAUUGGGAGGAACACCAGUGGCGAAGGCGGCCUGCUGGGCUCUAACUGACGCUGAGGUUCGAAAGUGUGGGUAGCAAACAGGAUUAGAUACCCUGGUA